UUCCUAUACAUGCAAGUCGAACGAACUCUGGGUAUUGAUUGGGUGCUUGCAUCAUGAUUUACAUUUGAGUGAGUGGCGAACUGGUGAGUAACACGUGGGAAACCUGCCCAGAAGCGGGGGAUAACACCUGGAAACAGAUGCUAAUACCGCAUAACAACUUGGACCGCAUGGUCCGAGCUUGAAAGAUGGCUUCGGCUAUCACUUUUGGAUGGUCCCGCGGCGUAUUAGCUAGAUGGUGGGGUAACGGCUCACCAUGGCAAUGAUACGUAGCCGACCUGAGAGGGUAAUCGGCCACAUUGGGACUGAGACACGGCCCAAACUCCUACGGGAGGCAGCAGUAGGGAAUCUUCCACAAUGGACGAAAGUCUGAUGGAGCAACGCCGCGUGAGUGAAGAAGGGUUUCGGCUCGUAAAACUCUGUUGUUAAAGAAGAACAUAUCUGAGAGUAACUGUUCAGGUAUUGACGGUAUUUAACCAGAAAGCCACGGCUAACUACGUGCCAGCAGCCGCGGUAAUACGUAGGUGGCAAGCGUUGUCCGGAUUUAUUGGGCGUAAAGCGAGCGCAGGCGGUUUUUUAAGUCUGAUGUGAAAGCCUUCGGCUCAACCGAAGAAGUGCAUCGGAAACUGGGAAACUUGAGUGCAGAAGAGGACAGUGGAACUCCAUGUGUAGCGGUGAAAUGCGUAGAUAUAUGGAAGAACACCAGUGGCGAAGGCGGCUGUCUGGUCUGUAACUGACGCUGAGGCUCGAAAGUAUGGGUAGCAAACAGGAUUAGAUACCCUGGUAGUCCAUACCGUAAACGAUGAAUGCUAAGUGUUGGAGGGUUUCCGCCCUUCAGUGCUGCAGCUAACGCAUUAAGCAUUCCGCCUGGGGAGUACGGCCGCAAGGCUGAAACUCAAAGGAAUUGACGGGGGCCCGCACAAGCGGUGGAGCAUGUGGUUUAAUUCGAAGCUACGCGAAGACCUUACCAGGUCUUGACUACUAUGCAAAUCUAAGAGAUUAGACGUUCCCUUCGGGGACAUGGAUACAGGUGGU
RNAcentral lists this ribosomal RNA (1032 nucleotides) under Lactiplantibacillus plantarum. RNAcentral describes it as "bacterial SSU rRNA". It matches the Rfam family "Bacterial small subunit ribosomal RNA", at positions 46 to 1042 of the family's 1533-position model. Lineage: Bacteria; Bacillati; Bacillota; Bacilli; Lactobacillales; Lactobacillaceae. The record is from RNAcentral.